This 305-nucleotide ribosomal RNA is filed under the name uncultured bacterium. RNAcentral describes it as "partial 16S ribosomal RNA". It matches the Rfam family "Bacterial small subunit ribosomal RNA", at positions 508 to 807 of the family's 1533-position model. The record is from RNAcentral.
ACAGCAGCCGCCGCGGUAAUACGUAGGGUGCGAGCGUUAAUCGGAAUUAUUGGGCGUAAAGCGAGUGUAGACGGUUAUUUAAGCCAGAUGUGAAAUACCCAAGCCUAACUUGGGAGGUGCAUAUGGAACUGGGUAGCUAGAGUGUGUCAGAGGGAGGUAGAACUCCACGUGUAGCAGUGAAAUGCGUAGAGAUGUGGAAGAAUACCGAUGGCGAAGGCAGCCUCCUGGAAUAACACUGACGUUGAGGCUCGAAAGCGUGGGGAGCAAACAGGAUUAGAUACCCCCGUAGUCCCUGUCUCUUAUAC